AGAGUUUGAUCCUGGCUCAGAUUGAACGCUGGCGGCAGGCCUAACACAUGCAAGUCGAGCGGCAGCGGGAAAGUAGCUUGCUACUUUUGCCGGCGAGCGGCGGACGGGUGAGUAAUGCCUGGGAAAUUGCCCAGUCGAGGGGGAUAACAGUUGGAAACGACUGCUAAUACCGCAUACGCCCUACGGGGGAAAGCAGGGGACCUUCGGGCCUUGCGCGAUUGGAUAUGCCCAGGUGGGAUUAGCUAGUUGGUGAGGUAAUGGCUCACCAAGACCAUGAUGCAUAGCCGACCUGAGAGGGUGAUCGGCCACACUGGGACUGAGACACGGCCCAGACUCCUACGGGAGGCAGCAGUAGGGAAUCUUCGGCAAUGGACGGAAGUCUGACCGAGCAACGCCGCGUGAGUGAAGAAGGCCUUAGGGUUGUAAAGCACUUUCAGCGAGGAGGAAAGGUUGAUGCCUAAUACGUAUCAACUGUGACGUUACUCGCAGAAGAAGCACCGGCUAACUCCGUGCCAGCCGCCGCGGUAAUUC
Molecule: ribosomal RNA, 531 nt
Filed under: uncultured bacterium
Lineage: Bacteria
Description: bacterial SSU rRNA
Rfam family: Bacterial small subunit ribosomal RNA
Source: RNAcentral